GACGAGCGGCGGACGGGUGAGUAAUACUUAGGAAUCUACCUAGUAGUGGGGGAUAGCUCGGGGAAACUCGAAUUAAUACCGCAUACGACCUACGGGAGAAAGGGGGCAACUUGUUGCUCUCGCUAUUAGAUGAGCCUAAGUCGGAUUAGCUAGAUGGUGGGGUAAAGGCCUACCAUGGCGACGAUCUGUAGCUGGUCUGAGAGGAUGAUCAGCCACACCGGGACUGAGACACGGCCCGGACUCCUACGGGAGGCAGCAGUGGGGAAUAUUGGACAAUGGGGGAAACCCUGAUCCAGCCAUGCCGCGUGUGUGAAGAAGGCCUUUUGGUUGUAAAGCACUUUAAGCAGUGAAGAAGACUCUUCGGUUAAUACCCGGAGACGAUGACAUUAGCUGCAGAAUAAGCACCGGCUAACUCUGUGCCAGCAGCCGCGGUAAUACAGAGGGUGCAAGCGUUAAUCGGAAUUACUGGGCGUAAAGCGAGCGUAGGUGGCUUGAUAAGUCAGAUGUGAAAUCCCCGGGCUUAACCUGGGAACUGCAUCUGAUACUGUCAGGCUAGAGUAGGUGAGAGGAAGGUAGAAUUCCAGGUGUAGCGGUGAAAUGCGUAGAGAUCUGGAGGAAUACCGAUGGCGAAGGCAGCCUUCUGGCAUCAUACUGACACUGAGGCUCGAAAGCGUGGGUAGCAAACAGGAUUAGAUACCCUGGUAGUCCACGCCGUAAACGAUGUCUACUAGUCGUUGGGUCCCUUGAGGACUUAGUGACGCAGCUAACGCAAUAAGUAGACCGCCUGGGGAGUACGGCCGCAAGGUUAAAACUCAAAUGAAUUGACGGGGGCCCGCACAAGCGGUGGAGCAUGUGGUUUAAUUCGAUGCAACGCGAAGAACCUUACCUGGUCUUGACAUAUCUAGAAUCCUGCAGAGAUGCGGGAGUGCCUUCGGGAAUUAGAAUACAGGUGCUGCAUGGCUGUCGUCAGCUCGUGUCGUGAGAUGUUGGGUUAAGUCCCGCAACGAGCGCAACCCUUGUCCUUAGUUACCAGCGGGUUAAGCCGGGAACUCUAAGGAUACUGCCAGUGACAAACUGGAGGAAGGCGGGGACGACGUCAAGUCAUCAUGGCCCUUACGACCAGGGCUACACACGUGCUACAAUGGUAGGUACAGAGGGCAGCUACACAGCGAUGUGAUGCGAAUCUCAAAAAGCCUAUCGUAGUCCAGAUUGGAGUCUGCAACUCGACUCCAUGAAGUAGGAAUCGCUAGUAAUCGCGGAUCAGAAUGCCGCGGUGAAUACGUUCCCGGGCCUUGUACACACCGCCCGUCACACCAUGGGAGUUGAUUGCACCAGAAGUGGUUAG
RNAcentral lists this ribosomal RNA (1345 nucleotides) under Psychrobacter sp. SR10-S-9. Its description in RNAcentral is "16S ribosomal RNA". It matches the Rfam family "Bacterial small subunit ribosomal RNA", at positions 90 to 1433 of the family's 1533-position model. The record is from RNAcentral. Lineage: Bacteria; Pseudomonadati; Pseudomonadota; Gammaproteobacteria; Moraxellales; Moraxellaceae.